GGCCUGGAUGAGACCCAUCCUGGCAAGAUCUGGGCUGGACCACGUCAGGCCCAAAGAAGGAAGAUGGAGGCUAGAGGAGGGGACAGGGCCUGUGUCGGUCAGAGGAGGAUCGAGACAGACCACUUCUGCCUCCCACCUGGCAGGCCCAGGAGGGCCGGGGGUUCUGGGGGGCGGGGGGCGGGGUGGUCUGGGCUGCAGGUGUGUUGUGGCCUGGCUCCCACCCCAGAAGUAAAUCGCUUCAUUUCCCUGUUUCCUCCCAUCUACCGAGCCACAAAGAAGUGUAGGUCCCUUGAUUCAUCCGGAAGAGGAAUUCUUCCAGAAGGAGAAUAUUCAUCUAGGAUGGGGCAGAAUUGGGAGAUAAGAGGUGCUGCGGGCUUUGUCAGCAGCCUGGGAGACGGGGGACAUGGAGGAUCACAGCGGCAGAUCUUAAAUCAAAGCCCGGGCCAUCCAUCUUCCAGAAGAGACGGAAAUAACUAGGUGGGUGGCACAGACCGCCACCGCAUGGACAGCGAGAGAUUAGAAAGCUGGAAUCUUGAGCCCCUAAGUCCCUUCACCAAUUUCCCCAAACCCCAGGGACCUGCCUGCUGAAGGGAGAACUCAUUUUAGACUUAGCCCAGGAGGGUCCGUGGGCUCGACUGCAGGAAAUUCCUCUGUGUGGGGGCUUCUGAAGGCCCUUCCCCCACCACUGUUCUCUUAGCCCCCUUGCCCAUAGUUUCUCCUUGCAGGCACCCUCACGAGAGUCAGGCUGGCAGUGGUGGGGUAGCCGAGUGGUUAGUGGGUGUGCCAGACCGAUGGCUCAAAUCCUGGCUCCACUGCUCACCAGCUCUGCAAAGCUGGGCAAGCUGCAAAGAGACGGUUUGGCUCUCAGUUUCCUCAUCUAUAAAGCAGGAAGGAGGGGUUCCCGUCGUGGCUCAGUGGAAACAAAUCUGAUUGGCAACCAGGACACAGGUUCGAUCCCUGGUCUUGCUCAGUGGGUUAAGGAUCUGGCGUAGCCCUGAGCUGUGGUGUAGGUCACAGAUGCGGCUCAGAUCUGGUGUUGCUGUGGCUGUGGUGUAGGCCGGCAGCUGUAGCUCUGAUUCGACCCCUAGCCUGGGAACUUCCAUAUGCUGUGAGGAAAAAAAAAAAAGAAAUCUCCAAACAGGAACGAUAUACCAGCUUCAGAGGGUUGUUUGGAGGAUUAAACAAAAUCAUGCACACAAAGCAAAGGGCAAGAUGUCUGACACAGGGUAAGACCUCAAACAUUAACCAUGAAUGUUAAUCUUCUUGUUAUCCCGCAGGUGAGCUCCAUCCAGCUAGCUGCUGCUGCUCCCCACAGGCUCUCCUGCUCUUUUGCCUUUUUACACCCUAUCCAUCCCUCAAGCCUCAGUUUCAUUUCCACUUCCUCCAGGAAGCCCUCCCUGAAUGACCCUCCGAGGCGCCUCUGACUCCCAAGGCUGCCAAUGUCGGACUCAGUCACAUUGGUGGCAACUGCCUUUUG
Molecule: long non-coding RNA, 1477 nt
Filed under: Sus scrofa (pig)
Lineage: Eukaryota; Metazoa; Chordata; Mammalia; Artiodactyla; Suidae
Description: lncRNA (ENSSSCG00040052903.1)
Source: RNAcentral